UACCAGCACCCCGAGUGGUCGGGACGUUUAUUGGGCCUAAAGCAUCCGUAGCCGGUUCUACAAGUCUUCCGUUAAAUCCAACUGCUUAACAGGUGGGCUGCGGAAGAUACUAUAGAGCUAGGAGGCGGGAGAGGCAAGCGGUACUCGAUGGGUAGGGGUAAAAUGCGUAGAUAUCAUGAGGAACACCAGAGGCGAAGGCGGCUACCUGGACAGUUACUGACGCUCAGGCACGAAAGCGUGGGGAGCAAAAGGG
This 253-nucleotide ribosomal RNA is filed under the name uncultured bacterium. RNAcentral's name for it is "partial 16S ribosomal RNA". The stretch from base 27 to 253 matches the Rfam family "Bacterial small subunit ribosomal RNA", at positions 550 to 776 of the family's 1533-position model. The record is from RNAcentral.